Bos indicus x Bos taurus (hybrid cattle) is the source of this 532-nucleotide long non-coding RNA. Lineage: Eukaryota; Metazoa; Chordata; Mammalia; Artiodactyla; Bovidae. The record is from Ensembl.
UGCAGCCAGAUCCAGGAGCAGAUACAAAAAUAAAUGCAUAGUGUAGAUGCAGAGGUCACUGGAGAUAAAGCCUAUCCAUCUUGCAGGUCUAGAUAUAUCUAUGUAACAACACAUUUUCAUUUUGGGGUAAGAAUCUAAGUGCAACAUUGAGAUUUUGUUUCCUUGCAGUCUUUUGGCAGCUGUCUCUCUGGGCGUCUGUCUCUGUGUCUCUCAGAGACCCCUCCUCUUCUUCGUUGUACCACUGGAGAGCAGGUGUUUUGGCUAGUGGACUCUGCCACAGGGAGGGCAGCACGAGAAAGAAAGAGGGAGGCAAGCGAAAUUCCUGAAUGGAUAGACAGAUGCUACGUCAUCGGAGCCGCAUCCUCCACUCCACAAGAGGCUAGGAGCCGGAGAAAGAGGCAGGCCAGCGGCAGGGGCCACCGAGCCAGCGCGCCUCCUCCCAGAAGCCGGAGCAGAGCAUCGGAGAAGAAGCAGCCUCAUUUGCUUCUGGUGUCAUCGUAGGUGUCCACCUUUGGCUUUGGGGGUACUUAUU